Molecule: microRNA precursor, 109 nt
Organism: Sorghum bicolor (sorghum)
Lineage: Eukaryota; Viridiplantae; Streptophyta; Magnoliopsida; Poales; Poaceae
Rfam family: MIR5565 microRNA precursor family
Source: Rfam
GUUGUCGGAUUCAUUUCAAUCCAUGUGUGUUGGUGUGGAUUGAAGUGGAAUUUAGUUCAAAUUUCAUUCUAAUCCACCUCAACACACGUGGAUUGAUGUGAAUCCGACU